AUUUCCAGAUGACUUGGUGCAUUCAUUCUCAUUUAACAAAUUCACAUUGUAAAGGAUUUGGACACACUCUCUAAGGUCACACCAGAUGUUUUAGAUACUGGUAUGUAUAUAGACAGUAUCAAUGCAUGUGUUCCAUGUGUUAAUUUAGACUACCAUCAGUUAAAAUUGAAAUUUUCCUUUUUCUCUAUCAACCCAUAGGUUGUUGGACCGGAAACAUAGAUAUCAAAAUAAAAAGAUUUGGUAUGAUUGCCACCAGAGACUAAGUGACAUUAAAGGUAAGGAACUUACGGUCACUGUUCAGCCUUCAACAUUGAGCAAAACCUUAAAGAACAAAUGAAAAUAUUCAGCUGAUAAAUUGCCAAACUCAUCAGAUCAAGACAAACAUGACAAUUAAAGCACAAAAACAAAUGGAGCCAAUUUAUCAGCAAGAUAGAUUUUUCUGAUCUUGUUUGUUGUGACCAAUGAAAUAUCUUGCUUGAAAAUUAAAUCUGCAAGGCCCUGCUAUUUAUGUUUCCUAGGCUUAUAAUAGUGGUUUAAAUCCUGACCAUUUGUCCACUUUAACAUCAACCUCCAUUAUACAUAACUGAAGUGUCUUAGGCACAGUUCUGUAUUCCAAGAUCAACAAAAAGUGUAUUAUUUUAAUACUUACACAUGUAAUCAUCAAUUUGAAACACUUUCAGCUUUUAGCAAUGGUCAUAAAAGACUUUUCUUAACCUACUCUUUAAUAUAUUUCCAACAUGAGAAAAUAUAUCCAUUAUAAAAUAUGUGGCAAGGAAACCUGUAGUGAUUGAUACAAGAAUGUCAUUCUUUACAAGAAUGUUAUUCUAUUCAAGAAUGUCAUUCUAUACAAGAAUGUCAUUCUAUUCAAGAAUGUCAUUCUAUAAAAGAAUGUAAUGUUGAUCUUAUUGAGAAUCUAAUAGAACUUUUCCAUAGGGUCAUCUUCUAUUGGUCAAGGUAUUUAUAAAUUUAUCUGUUCUAUUACUAAUUGAAAAAUACAAUAUUUAUUAGCCUCUUUAUACUAUCACUUAGAUUUAUUCAAAGAGAAAUCUAUCUAUCUAUUUUUGAAUUUUCCUCAGAGUUCAGUAUUUUUGUGUUUUUACUUUUCACUCAACACUUAAUAUACAUGAAUAAAAAAAACGGUCUGCUAAAUGGAUGAAAAGACAUGUAUCAACUCACAAAACCACUUGCUUGUCAAUACUUUGAAUUCUGCAAGAUCAUGCAUGAACAAAAAAAUCAUAUUUGGCCAGAAACUAAGUGACCGAAUGUGGUCAACUGCUAUACAGUAAUGAGUUGUAGAGAAUUUGCUCUUUUACGAUCUGUCAUGACUCAUGCACCAAAUUCCUAUUCUAUACAGUACUUUUAUUUCAAAAUGCAAUGUGUUCUGUCUGACAUCUUUGAAAGUUUAUAGUUUAAGUACUCAAGAAUUAAUGAGAGCUUACAAAUUCUAACAUAAUGAUUUUAUAUUUCAGGUUGGUUCACAUCUACUAUGCAAAAGUUCACCUAAGACCUCAAGCAGUUAACACACAGAUGAUUUGAGCAGAAUAACUGAACAAUACAAAACAAAAGAUUUUAACACUCUGUAAUACAUGAACAUUUAAAUUUUUCAUAGGCAUUGUACAUAAAUAUAUAUAAAAAAAUAUAUACUUUUGAUACCUUAAAUUAUAGGAACUAUUUACAAGUUGUUUAUUAUAUAAUGAUGAUAUGGAAAAACUACCUAUUAUAAAAAUGUAAUGCAUAUUUUUAGAAUGUUUAGAUAAUCCAUGAAAAUUUUCUUGAAGCUCUCAUUUUAGAUUUCAUU
Molecule: long non-coding RNA, 1798 nt
Filed under: Mytilus galloprovincialis (Mediterranean mussel)
Lineage: Eukaryota; Metazoa; Mollusca; Bivalvia; Mytilida; Mytilidae
Source: RNAcentral